GGCCUUAGGCAUUAACCUCUCUCUCAGUGCCUCGGGUGCUGGGCGCUUAGUCUGUAAAACAGGUAUCAUCAUAGCAUCUACCUCCUGGGUUCUCAGGGGUUUUGGAGGAGUUAAUAUAUCUAAAGCAUUCAAAACCCGCCAGGCACACAGUGGGUACUUUACUAGUGUUAGUUUUUGUUGUUAUUGUUAACAGCUCCUUUCCCCACCCACGCCCAAGGAAAAACUCUCAAAUAGCUGGCAUGAGUAUGGUCAUCCACCUCAGUAGCCUGCCUGUCUGUGAGGGCCUCCUCCCUCAGUGAGCGGCUUGGUCCUACUCCCCUGGGCUCCUUUCUGCUCCCUUUCCUCCCACUGUUGAGUCUCUCUUCCCUGGGAUUAAUCCACCAACCAUUUCGCCCUCUUCUGUGUUUUAGCUUCAUCCCUACCCACUUUUCUUCUCCCUCUGUUGCUUCCUUCCAUUCCUUUUUUUUUCUGGAGACAGAGUCUGGCGCUAUCUUGGCUCACUGCAACCUCCGCCUCCUGGGUUCAAGCGAUUCUCCUCUCUCUUUCUUCCACCUUUUUGUUUUACCUUAUUCCUCCCGCC
RNAcentral lists this long non-coding RNA (580 nucleotides) under Homo sapiens (human). RNAcentral describes it as "HSALNT0333150". Lineage: Eukaryota; Metazoa; Chordata; Mammalia; Primates; Hominidae. The record is from RNAcentral.